Molecule: long non-coding RNA, 546 nt
Filed under: Homo sapiens (human)
Lineage: Eukaryota; Metazoa; Chordata; Mammalia; Primates; Hominidae
Description: HSALNT0152133
Source: RNAcentral
CAUUACUUGAGAAAGAGACCACUAGAUUUUUCUUUUUCUCUAAGAAUGAUGAACGACUUCAAGGUUCUGACUUAUUCUGGAGAGGAGUAGGAAGUAAUAUGAGCAGGAACUCUUGGGAGGCCAGAACAACCAACCUGCGUAUGGAUUGUCGAAAGAAACAUAAAGACGCAAAAAGGAAAAUGAAACCAAAAUAAUAAAUGUCAGCUGGUUUUGAUACUGAAUGUGAACAAGGCUCACCUAAGGAAACUGACCCAGAAAACAGUUUUAGCUGACAAAGAAGAAAUUUCAGAGUGAAGGAAUUUUAAAAAUCUGGCUGACGGAAUAUCAUUCUGGUUGCCAUCUUUUUCUGUGGAACUCCUCUGCAUUUCUUCCUAAGUAAUUACUUCAAAAAUUAAAUUCAACUUCUUAUAAAGGAAGAACAAGAUAGUCCUUGAAAAUACUUUUUGUAUAUAAUCUCUUUGCCCUCUAUCCUGAGUAACUAAUGGACAUCUUCUCAUGCAAGGUUUAUAUGAAGCCUUUUUAAAUAAAUGAGUCAAAGCACUUGUA